GGAAAACUUUAAACGCUCUCCUUUUCUGUAGAGCAUAGGAGACGUGGUGGGAAACUCAAUCAGUUCUGUCAAGAUAUUUUAAACUGAGCUUUCUGAUCUUGUCAUACAUCAAAAAUUACUCAAAAGUGCUAAUGUGACACAUUGGCUUUGAACGACUGGGCAAGAAAGGAAGAACAGCAGUGGUGGAAAAGGGAUGCUACCCCUUUAAGAAGAGGCGCUGAGGCAGUGUCCUUCACAACUCUUACUGGAGCCGUGGCUUCUCCAUGAUAUUGUCAAGUUGUCAUGACGACAGGGAUGUUCCGCUGAAGUCUCGCGCCUGGCUGUCCAAUCGGAUGACGGGGGGCUCAAACUGCAAUACGAACGUGAAGGGACACACCUUUCCCAGUAACACAAUGCCAAGGACGACGUCCUGGUCCAAGACCACCUAUGGAACGUCGUCCGCUACAGGACCGAGGCAGCAAACGGGCUGCAGUGAUCAGAUUCCGAACGGAACCGCCAUGGAGGAGGAGGUGAGACAGGGCCAGCCCAUCAGGGGACCUGACCAUCAGUCAUGGAGCUCUGGAGCUGAAGUUUUCAGCCACAUGAACAGAUGGAGAUGAUAGUACUGAGAAUGGUGAUGUAACCAUCCGAGUCCCUUUUCGCCUGAAGGACCGGCAUGUCUAAAGGCCUUGAUGUUUUUCCAAUAAUUGGCAGCCGAGGUCGAUUCCCCACCACCACCACCACAC
This is a non-coding RNA of Electrophorus electricus (electric eel), 725 nucleotides long. The record is from RefSeq and is a predicted model, not a curated record. Lineage: Eukaryota; Metazoa; Chordata; Actinopteri; Gymnotiformes; Gymnotidae.